AAAUGACGGUACCUGACUAAGAAGCUCCGGCUAAAUACGUGCCAGCAGCCGCGGUAAUACGUAUGGAGCAAGCGUUAUCCGGAUUUACUGGGUGUAAAGGGUGCGUAGGUGGCAGUGCAAGUCAGAUGUGAAAGGCCGGGGCUCAACCCCGGAGCUGCAUUUGAAACUGCGCGGCUAGAGUACAGGAGAGGCAGGCGGAAUUCCUAGUGUAGCGGUGAAAUGCGUAGAUAUUAGGAGGAACACCAGUGGCGAAGGCGGCCUGCUGGACUGUUACUGACACUGAGGCACGAAAGCGUGGGGAGCAAACAGGAUUAGAUA
Molecule: ribosomal RNA, 318 nt
Filed under: uncultured bacterium
Lineage: Bacteria
Description: bacterial SSU rRNA
Rfam family: Bacterial small subunit ribosomal RNA
Source: RNAcentral